Molecule: ribosomal RNA, 343 nt
Filed under: uncultured bacterium
Lineage: Bacteria
Description: bacterial SSU rRNA
Rfam family: Bacterial small subunit ribosomal RNA
Source: RNAcentral
AGAGUUUGAUCAUGGCUCAGGACGAACGCUGGCGGCGCGCCUAACACAUGCAAGUCGAACGAGAGAUGAGGAGCUUGCUCUUCAAAUCGAGUGGCGAACGGGUGAGUAACGCGUGAGGAACCUGCCUCAAAGAGGGGACAACAGUUGGAAACGACUGCUAAUACCGCAUAAGCCCACGGCUCGGCAUCGAGCAGGGGAAAAGGAGCAAUCCGCUUUGAGAUGGCCUCGCGUCCGAUUAGCUAGUUGGUGAGGUAACGGCCACCAAGGCGACGAUCGGUAGCCGGACUGAGAGGUUGAACGGCCACAUUGGGACUGAGACACGGCCCAGACUCCUACGGGGGCA